UCUCUCCGAACUUUCUCCUCUCUCUCUGUCUCUCUCACCCUCUUUGGUUUGUAACCUCUCAGAUCUGCAACCUUUUAUUCUUCUUCUUCACUCUCUGGUCUCCAAUCCCUCAUUUGGGUUCUGUCCCUCUCUGGUCUACAAUCCUUCCUUGGGUUAGAAACCGAAUAAAGGGAAGGGCCACGUGGAAUCGUUUGAUCAUUCGGCCAAUUGAGAUAAGUAUCCCUACUCCUUGUUCUUUUGUGUUUAUUUUUUGGGAUCUCUAUAGAUUUUCUUGUGCAUUUUCUGCUCGUCUAAACAUGACUUUUGGGUCGAUUGACCAUAGUUGGGGUCAGGUUGAGUUUGGUUUGGAUCUGGGUAAAAAGGUGGUUAGGUCAAGAUGGGCUUAGUGAUCUUGGUGGUUUUUUUUUUGAAAAUUUUUUGAGCCCCCAACCCGUUUUGAAAAUUGGGGAUGUGUUACAAAAAUGGUUGGGCCUUGGGUUUUUAAAGAAAGAGUUAAGCCUGGUUUUAUAUAUAUAUAUAUGUGUAUAAGUUGAGCCCACUGAUGUUACCUUUUAAAACGGGCCAGUGGGUUUUGGGUUAUUUAGAAACUGGGAUGAAGUUUUUUUAAAAGUUUGGGCCUGAGCCCACUGAUGUUAUUUUUAAACGAGCCGGGGGGUUUUGGGUUAUUUAAAUGGGUCGGGGUUUUUUAAAAGUUUGGGUCUGAGCCCACUAAUGUUAUUUUUAAAACAGACCAGGGGUUUUUUAUUAUUUAGAAAAUGGGAUUUUUUUUUUUAAGUUUGGGCCUGAGCCCACUAGUGUUACUUUUGAAACAAGCAGGGGAGUUUUAGGUUAUUUAGAAAAUGGGCUGAGGUCUUUUUAAAAGUUUGGGCCCGAGCCCUUUUGUUUAUUUAGUGGAUAAGGUCCAGGGACCCAGUUUCAAAUGGACCAAGUCCCUAAAAGUUUCGGUCAAGUCAACGGGUCUGGUUCGGGUUACGGGUUAGUCCACGGGUCAAGGUUGGUGGAUCAGAUCUGUGAAUUGGAUCCGAUUUGGAUUUGGUCACUGAAUCGGGUUACUGGAUUGGAUCAUACAUGCAAUAUUGAACAUAGAAAGCCCUUAUAAAUUCGUCACUUACCUCUGAUCUUUAAACUCCUUCACCUCUAAGUUCCCUUUUGACUUUGAGACACGAACUCUAUGUUAGGAACCUGUGAGCAACCAAAAAAAUGUGACACCAAAAUUUUAACAUGGUUCGGUCAAUAUCGACCUACGUCUAUGGAGCACACACCAAAUAUUCACUAUCACCAGAAAAAUUACAAUUCUCUUUCUCUCCCUCUCUUCCUCCCUUCUUCCUCUCUGCUCUCUCCGAGCUUCACACUAUAUUUGUGUCAUUCCUCAGCCCUCUAUUUAUAGGGCUGAUAUUCCAAUCACUAUUUAAUUACAAUUAAACAUAAUCAAUCAAAACAUGGGAAAUUACAAUAAUGAGGUAAAUAGAGAUAAAUUACACUGUGUGAGAUUAAUUGCUCCGCGUUUUCCAACUCAGCUCCUCCUAGCUGUCUCCUGGCUCCAGCUAUAACAAUCUCCCACUUGGAGAUAGAGACGCCUUCUCAAUCAGUAUCAUUAAUAAGUGAUGUGCUCAAAAUAUGUCUUCAGACAUGAAAACCAACUGAAGUUGAACACAACUUCAGCUUCUCUGUAGUUACCAUCUUCUUGUCUACUCGAUCCUGCGGACUAAUCUGAUGGCUGUCAUCUUCACAAUUGGUGUAAAAAUGCUAGUGUAGUCAAUCCCUUCCUUUUGUUCGAAGUCUUUGAAUACCAACCGAGAUUUGUACCUUCUGGAGCCGUCAUGCUCCUCUUCGAUUCUGUACACCCACUUGUUGUGAAGGCCUUUGGGCAACUUCCAUGUUCUGUUGGAGGCGAGGGACUUCAUCUCAUCCUUCAUCGUAAGCUCCCACUUGCUCGUAUCUGCCACCUGACAUGCUUCAUCGUAGCAUCGGGCUCUCCUCCAUUUGUAGGAAGUAAGUAAUCAAUAUACCUUUUGUUUGGUAUAUGAGACCGAGUAUAUCUCCUAAGCUCUGGAGUUGGAGUAGGAGACAGUGGUGCGACGAUCUGCUCCACUGGUUCCUCCACCUGAGGAUUCUCGGCAUUCUACUGUUGUGUCCUAACAUACUUCUUUGGGGCACGAGUGUUUAUCUGGAAACUGACCCUCUUCUAUUUCCUGACUAUACAAUCCUCACAUAUGUCAAUCUGCACUGACUAUAGACCACUCAAUUUUUCUUUUAAGUGCAUCACCCUAAGUCCCUUCUUGCUCAUGUGACCAAGUCAUUGACGACAGAUGUUGCUGUCGUCAUUUCUUGCAGUAACUGAAAUAGACAUGGAGGUAUUGGAGGUUAGAAAAAGUGUUCCGCUUUUCUUACCUCGCGCAAACUCUAGUACACCCUUUGAAACUUUCCAUUCAUCGCCAAUGAAUUUUAUCGUGUAUCUCUCAUCUGCCAACUGACCAACUGAGAUCAAAUUCAUUCUCAGGUCUGGAAUAUACCUGACAUCCUUCAGCUUCCAUACUGACCCGUUUAUUUUGAUCUUCACAACUCCCUUACCGGUUACGUCGCAAGGUUGAUCGUUGCCAAGGUACACCUUACCAAAAUUACCUGGUGUGUACUCCUUUACGCAAUCUCUGUAGCAUGUGACAUGAAAUGAGGCCCCGGAGUCUAUGACCCAAGACUCCUACUUGCUUUCCAAAUAGCAGAUCAACAUCACAUCAUUUAUAGAAGCAAUAUUUGCUUCUGUUUUUGCCAUUGUCACAUAUUCUUUCUUCUAAUUCCUGCAUUGGUUCUUGUAAGGACCAACUUUUCCACAGUUCCAGCACUCAAUAAAUUUUGUGCUAUGGGAACUUGUGUCUUGAGUACCUUUGGGAUUUCUGGAUAUAGACCGCCUGGGUUUAUAUCUACUGCAGUUGUUUGAUUGUCCAUGCCUGUUUCCUCUGCCUCGACUCUCCAUGUUCAAGGUUGAACUCGAAGUAGAGCCAUGGUUCGACUGCAUUCUUAAUUCCUCCAUCAAAAUCAUGUUGAUGACUUCAUCGUAUACAAGCUUCGAUUUUCUUGCGGAGCUACUGCUGGCAGUAACGACACCAUUCUAACUUUUAGGCAACUGACUGAGAAUCAGUAAGGCCCGAAUCUCAUCAUCAAAUGUUAUGCCGACUGAGGUGAGUUGAUCAGACAACUCAUUGAAGUUAUUCAAAUGCCUACUGAAACUUUCACCUGCAAACAUGCUCAUCGUAAAUAGUCUUUUCAUGAGAUGUACCUUGUUUGCGGCUGAAGGCUGCUCGUACAUAUUAGAAAGCGCAUCCAUUAGAGACUUUGUGGAUGUUAUAUGCUUAUUAUUGAAUGUCACAGAUUUCGACAACGUCAUUCUGAUGGUUCCGAGGCUUUUCGAUCAAGCAACUCCCACUCGUCCUCGUUCAUGGAUGCUAGCUUACCCUUUAACGGUAAGUGCAAUUCCUUCCCAAACAAAUAAUCUUCUAUUUGCAUCUUCCAGAAACCGAAAUUAUUUUCAUUGAACAUUUCGAUUUUUGAACUGUUUUCAUUUGACAUCUCAAUUCACUGAUUUUUUGAGAAGGAGUUAGCUCAAAUGGAUAGCGCGGUUGGAUUCGGAACGAUUGAAAACCCUAUGAAUGGUUCAAGUCGCUCGAAAAAACAGACCAAAAAUAACUCCAAAAAGCUCAGUCAAAGUUUGGUCAAACUUUGUCAACUCCGCUGAUGUGGCGGGAUGCCGUGUCACGAUGACGUGGUAGUGGGGCUCACUUGCUGAUGUGGCAGUGGGUCCACCCGCUAACGUGGUAGUGGGGCCCACUCGCUGACAUGGCACCUGGUUGGAUGACGUGGCACUCUGAGGGCGACUGACUCAGUGAUGUUGACGUGGCCGAGUCUAUGCCUGCAGGUUGGAUUCGGUUCUCGCAUAUCAGGUCUUAGGUUGAUCCGGUAUGAGUCAGAGUCCGGGUAGGGUCGGGUUCCCUCCGGGUCAGGUCGAGGCUGACCGGGUGAGGACGAUGCGUACAACGCGUGCGGCGCGUGAGGGAGCUGGUCACUGGCGCGUGGCAAGGCGUCUUGCUCUGGCAAGGCGCGUGAGCCUCUGUAUGAACUCUAUUUGAGCUCCAGCUUGCACGGUUCUCUUUAUCUCGGCGAGCUGAAUGCGAUGGUGGACUCAAAACGUAGUUUUGAUUCACUGGAUAGAGCUCUAAUUUCGGGAUCACUUCCGAUCUGGCUUUUCUGCUCCAACCGCUCUCUCAUACCACUUGUUAGGAACCUGUGAGCAUCCAGAUCAAAGUGACACUAAAGAUUUAACGUGGUUUGGUCAAUAUCGACCUACGUCCAUGGAGCACACACCAAAUAUUCACUAUCGCCAAAAAAAUUACAAUUCUCUCUCUCUCUCCCUCUCUUCCUCCUUUCUUCCUCUCUGCUCUCUCUGAGGUUCUCACUAUAUUUGUGUCAUUCCUUAGCCCUCUAUUUAUAGGGCUAAUCUUCCAAUCACUAUUUAAUUACAAUUUAAACAUAAUCAAUCAAAACAUAGGAAGUUACAAUCAUGAGGUAAAUAGAGAUAAAUUGCACCGCGUGAGAUUAAUUGCAUCGCGUUUUCCAACUCAGCUCCUCCUAGCCGUCUCUUGGCUCCAGCUAUAACACUUUGAUCUCUGAGCUUUCUUAUUAACUGCUCCCCUGUAUGAACUCCUUCACCGUGUGAAUGCACCACCAAAGGUCCUUACCACUAUUCGAACACCUUUGUGCCUCCCUCAAUGUGAUAUUCUUAUUGAACUUCUCACAAUAAUUCACACACUAUGUUUGCUAUGUGAAUAUUGUCAAAACACACUCUCUAUGAUCCUCGCACUGCAUUUCUCACACACUAUGUUGUCUCUGUGCUUUGAUCUACGAAGGUUCCUCCCUAUUUAUAGGGUUGGGGGUCUCAGACUGUAUAAGAAACAAAUUAAUCUCACGAAUCCUCAAAUUAAUUAAGAGAAUUAUUUCGAUCAAAUCUUGCAAUUUUUUUUCCAAAUUAAUUCAUAGAAUCAUAGUAUCAAUCUUCCUGAUUAUUUUCUUAAAAUUUUUUUCUCUAAUGGCUAAUUUUUUUUUUUGAAUUGGUGUGCAGAUGCUAGUCAUGGGGUUCAUAUAGAUUCAUCGAAUAUUCCUUGAAGCUAUUGAAGAUUUUCCUUUUGACCCCUAUGUUUUGUGUAUCUGUUACUCCCCGUAAUUCCCCCAAUGUAUUUUGUAUUCCUCAUGUAUCUCGUUGCGUUCGUACUUUCUUGUAUUUUCAUGUAUAUUCGUAUAAACAAUGAAUAAAAGAAAGUUUCCCAAA
This is a long non-coding RNA of Malania oleifera, 5317 nucleotides long. RefSeq lists it as uncharacterized. The record is from RefSeq and is a predicted model, not a curated record. The transcript is spliced from 2 exons. NCBI's taxonomy places the organism in Eukaryota, Viridiplantae, Streptophyta, Magnoliopsida, Santalales, Ximeniaceae.